Molecule: long non-coding RNA, 222 nt
Filed under: Elaeis guineensis (African oil palm)
Lineage: Eukaryota; Viridiplantae; Streptophyta; Magnoliopsida; Arecales; Arecaceae
Description: long non-coding RNA (EGUI_LNC062313)
Source: RNAcentral
CAUGCCAUACCAGUGUCUCCACACUCUUUGAUUAAGAGGACAGCCAACCCAUAUGGCAUACAGUGACCUAUACUUGAUAUUACUAUCAUCCUAUUAACAGCAUGUCAUUGGGUCGUGAACACGUUUUAAGGACUAAAUGACAAAUCCUCCUUUAUCGAUUAAUUAUAAUUCUAAGGAUACCAUCACAACACAGGAGUUCAAAUAAGAUGGAUAAAAUGUGAC